Long non-coding RNA from Oryzias latipes (Japanese medaka), 394 nucleotides. RefSeq lists it as uncharacterized. The record is from RefSeq and is a predicted model, not a curated record. NCBI's taxonomy places the organism in Eukaryota, Metazoa, Chordata, Actinopteri, Beloniformes, Adrianichthyidae.
CUUACUGUUCUCUUCUAGGUCCUCUGUGCCGACGUCACACAACCUGACCUAAAGAGGAAAUUAGCAGGUGUGUGAUCAAGCUAAUCAAAUGAUGCCCACCUGCUCUCAAUUCAAGCGAGGCUUUCUCCAAAGACCCGUGGGCAGCAGGAAAAGGCCGAGGAUUAUUCUCUACAACAGUCGACCACUUGAUUGAGCUAAGAAAGAUGCACACUGCUGGAUGAAAACACCCUUUGCUAAUUUGACUUUACUUGGUAAUCCAGUGGGUACAGGGUACCUAUAAAGGGCGGCUUUGGGUCUUAGAUAUAUUGGAUGCACUGUCAUAUCUGUAUUUUAUGUCACACAGCUAAAUUAAAGUAAAUUGUGUAUUGGGUAGAAUAUAAAAAAGGAUUUUGCA